Molecule: ribosomal RNA, 497 nt
Filed under: uncultured bacterium
Lineage: Bacteria
Description: partial 16S ribosomal RNA
Rfam family: Bacterial small subunit ribosomal RNA
Source: RNAcentral
GAUGAACGCUGGCGGCGUGCCUAAUACAUGCAAGUCGAGCGAACAGACGAGGAGCUUGCUCCUCUGACGUUAGCGGCGGACGGGUGAGUAACACGUGGAUAACCUACCUAUAAGACUGGGAUAACUUCGGGAAACCGGAGCUAAUACCGGGUAAUAUAUUUAACCGCAUGGUUCAAUAGUGAAAGACGGUUUUGCUGUCACUUAUAGAUGGAUCCGCGCCGCAUUAGCUAGUUGGUAAGGUAACGGCUUACCAAGGCAACGAUGCGUAGCCGACCUGAGAGGGUGAUCGGCCACACUGGAACUGAGACACGGUCCAGACUCCUACGGGAGGCAGCAGUAGGGAAUCUUCCGCAAUGGGCGAAAGCCUGACGGAGCAACGCCGCGUGAGUGAUGAAGGUCUUCGGAUCGUAAAACUCUGUUAUUAGGGAAGAACAAAUGUGUAAGUAACUAUGCACGUCUUGACGGUACCUAAUCAGAAAGCCACGGCUAACUACGUG